Molecule: ribosomal RNA, 460 nt
Filed under: uncultured bacterium
Lineage: Bacteria
Description: partial 16S ribosomal RNA
Rfam family: Bacterial small subunit ribosomal RNA
Source: RNAcentral
CCUACGGGGUGCUGCAGUGAGGAAUAUUGGUCAAUGGACGAGAGUCUGAACCAGCCAAGUAGCGUGAAGGAUGACUGCCCUAUGGGUUGUAAACUUCUUUUAUAUGGGAAUAAAAUGUUCCACGUGUGGGAUUUUGUAUGUACCAUAUGAAUAAGGAUCGGCUAACUCCGUGCCAGCAGCCGCGGUAAUACGGAGGAUCCGAGCGUUAUCCGGAUUUAUUGGGUUUAUAGGGAGCGUAGGUGGAUUGUUAAGUCAGUUGUGAAAGUUUGCGGCUCAACCGUAAAAUUGCAGUUGAAACUGGCAGUCUUGAGUACAGUAGAGGUGGGCGGAAUUCGUGGUGUAGCGGUGAAAUGCUUAGAUAUCACGAAGAACUCCGAUUGCGAAGGCAGUUCACUGGACUGCAACUGACACUGAGGCUCGAAAGUGUGGGUAUCAAACAGGAUUAGAUACCCGUGUAGUC